RNAcentral lists this ribosomal RNA (765 nucleotides) under uncultured Streptococcus sp. RNAcentral's name for it is "bacterial SSU rRNA". It matches the Rfam family "Bacterial small subunit ribosomal RNA", at positions 28 to 776 of the family's 1533-position model. Lineage: Bacteria; Bacillati; Bacillota; Bacilli; Lactobacillales; Streptococcaceae. The record is from RNAcentral.
GAUGAACGCGGGCGGCGUGCCUAAUACAUGCAAGUAGAACGAUGAAGCUUGGUGCUGCACCGAGCGGGAUGAGUUGCGAACGGGUGAGUAACGCGUAGGUAACCUGCAUGGUAGCGGGGGAUAACUAUUGGAAACGAUAGCUAAUACCGCAUAACAGUAGAUAUUGCAUGAUAUCUGCUUGAAAGGGGCAAUUGCUCCACUACCAGAUGGACCUGCGUUGUAUUAGCUAGUUGGUGAGGUAACGGCUCACCAAGGCGACGAUACAUAGCCGACCUGAGAGGGUGAUCGGCCACACUGGGACUGAGACACGGCCCAGACUCCUACGGGAGGCAGCAGUAGGGAAUCUUCGGCAAUGGACGGAAGUCUGACCGAGCAACGCCGCGUGAGUGAAGAAGGUUUUCGGAUCGUAAAGCUCUGUUGUAAGAGAAGAACGAGUGUGAGAGUGGAAAGUUCACACUGUGACGGUAUCUUACCAGAAAGGGACGGCUAACUACGUGCCAGCAGCCGCGGUAAUACGUAGGUCCCGAGCGUUAUCCGGAUUUAUUGGGCGUAAAGCGAGCGCAGGCGGUUAGAUAAGUCUGAAGUUAAAGGCUGUGGCUUAACCAUAGUACGCUUUGGAAACUGUUUAACUUGAGUGCAAGAGGGGAGAGUGGAAUUCCAUGUGUAGCGGUGAAAUGCGUAGAUAUAUGGAGGAACACCGGUGGCGAAAGCGGCUCUCUGGCUUGUAACUGACGCUGAGGCUCGAAAGCGUGGGGAGCAAACAGG